RNAcentral lists this ribosomal RNA (1073 nucleotides) under Pseudomonas sp. RNAcentral's name for it is "bacterial SSU rRNA". Lineage: Bacteria; Pseudomonadati; Pseudomonadota; Gammaproteobacteria; Pseudomonadales; Pseudomonadaceae. The record is from RNAcentral.
GCAAGUCGAGCGGAUGAAGGGAGCUUGCUCCUGGAUUUAGCGGCGGACGGGUGAGUAAUGCCUAGGAAUCUGCCUGGUAGUGGGGGAUAACGUUCCGAAAGGAACGCUAAUACCGCGUACGUCCUACGGGAGAAAGCAGGGGACCUUCGGGCCUUGCGCUAUCAGAUGAGCCUAGGUCGGAUUAGCUAGUUGGUGAGGUAAUGGCUCACCAAGGCGACGAUCCGUAACUGGUCUGAGAGGAUGAUCAGUCACACUGGAACUGAGACACGGUCCAGACUCCUACGGGAGGCAGCAGUGGGGAAUAUUGGACAAUGGGCGAAAGCCUGAUCCAGCCAUGCCGCGUGUGUGAAGAAGGUCUUCGGAUUGUAAAGCACUUUAAGUUGGGAGGAAGGGUUGUACGUUAAUACCGUGCAAUUUUGACGUUACCGACAGAAUAAGCACCGGCUAACUUCGUGCCAGCAGCCGCGGUAAUACGAAGGGUGCAAGCGUUAAUCGGAAUUACUGGGCGUAAAGCGCGCGUAGGUGGUUCAGUAAGUUGGAAGUGAAAUCCCCGGGCUCAACCUGGGAACUGCUUUCAAAACUGCUGAGCUAGAGUACGGUAGAGGGUAGUGGAAUUUCCUGUGUAGCGGUGAAAUGCGUAGAUAUAGGAAGGAACACCAGUGGCGAAGGCGRCUACCUGGACUGAUACUGACACUGAGGUGCGAAAGCGUGGGGAGCAAACAGGAUUAGAUACCCUGGUAGUCCACGCCGUAAACGAUGUCAACUAGCCGUUGGGAUCCUUGAGAUCUUAGUGGCGCAGCUAACGCAUUAAGUUGACCGCCUGGGGAGUACGGCCGCAAGGUUAAAACUCAAAUGAAUUGACGGGGGCCCGCACAAGCGGUGGAGCAUGUGGUUUAAUUCGAAGCAACGCGAAGAACCUUACCUGGCCUUGACAUGCUGAGAACUUUCCAGAGAUGGAUUGGUGCCUUCGGGAACUCAGACACAGGUGCUGCAUGGCUGUCGUCAGCUCGUGUCGUGRGAUGUUGGGUUAAGUCCCGUAACGAGCGCAACCCUUGUCCUUAGUUACCAGCACC